This 74-nucleotide transfer RNA is filed under the name Rhodobacter viridis. Its description in RNAcentral is "tRNA-Arg". It matches the Rfam family "tRNA". From Rfam's summary of the family: Transfer RNA (tRNA) molecules are approximately 80 nucleotides in length. Their secondary structure includes four short double-helical elements and three loops (D, anti-codon, and T loops). The record is from RNAcentral. Lineage: Bacteria; Pseudomonadati; Pseudomonadota; Alphaproteobacteria; Rhodobacterales.
GGUCCCGUAGCUCAGCUGGAUAGAGCAGCUGCCUUCUAAGCAGCGGGUCAGGGGUUCGACUCCUCUCGGGAUCG